RNAcentral lists this ribosomal RNA (919 nucleotides) under uncultured Bacillota bacterium. RNAcentral's name for it is "bacterial SSU rRNA". It matches the Rfam family "Bacterial small subunit ribosomal RNA", at positions 1 to 916 of the family's 1533-position model. The record is from RNAcentral. Lineage: Bacteria; Bacillati; Bacillota.
GGAUCCAGACUUUGAUCAUGGCUCAGGAUGAACGCUAGCUACAGGCUUAACACAUGCAAGUCGAGGGGCAGCAUGACGAUAGCUUGCUAUUGUUGAUGGCGACCGGCGCACGGGUGAGUAACGCGUAUCCAACCUGCCCUUGUCCAUCGGAUAACCCGUCGAAAGGCGGCCUAACACGAUAUGCAGUCCGCAGAAGGCAUCUGACGCGGACGAAAUGUGAAGGAGAAGGAUGGGGAUGCGUCUGAUUAGCUUGUUGGCGGGGUAACGGCCCACCAAGGCGACGAUCAGUAGGGGUUCUGAGAGGAAGAUCCCCCACAUUGGAACUGAGACACGGUCCAAACUCCUACGGGAGGCAGCAGUGAGGAAUAUUGGUCAAUGGGCGAGAGCCUGAACCAGCCAAGUAGCGUGCAGGAUGACGGCCCUAUGGGUUGUAAACUGCUUUUAUGUGGGGAUAAAGUGAGCCACGUGUGGCUUAUUGCAGGUACCGCAUGAAUAAGGACCGGCUAAUUCCGUGCCAGCAGCCGCGGUAAUACGGAAGGUCCGGGCGUUAUCCGGAUUUAUUGGGUUUAAAGGGAGCGUAGGCCGUCUGAUAAGCGUGUUGUGAAAUGUCGGGGCUCAACCUGGGCAUUGCAGCGCGAACUGUCAGACUUGAGUGCGCGGGAAGUAGGCGGAAUUCGUCGUGUAGCGGUGAAAUGCUUAGAUAUGACGAAGAACUCCGAUUGCGAAGGCAGCCUGCUGUAGCGCAACUGACGCUGAAGCUCGAAAGCGUGGGUAUCGAACAGGAUUAGAUACCCUGGUAGUCCACGCGGUAAACGAUGGAUGCUCGCUGUUUGCGUCUGACGUAAGCGGCCAAGCGAAAGCGUUAAGCAUCCCACCUGGGGAGUACGCCGGCAACGGUGCAACUCAAAGGAAUUGACGG